RNAcentral lists this long non-coding RNA (879 nucleotides) under Olea europaea subsp. europaea. Lineage: Eukaryota; Viridiplantae; Streptophyta; Magnoliopsida; Lamiales; Oleaceae. The record is from RNAcentral.
UUUGUGCAAGAAGUUUCUUGAUAACUCUAGUGCAUAAAUUUUUCUGAGGUGGCAUUAUGGUGAAAUAUUCAAUGAGUUCCUCAACAAACAACGUCUGGUCUCUUUUACUAUGAAACCUGAAUUCCAACAUAACUUUUAGUACUAGAAAAGGAAUUUGAUUUUCUAGCAAAAGAAAGUCCCUCCACACAAUGUAGCGACUCUUAUCCAGACGUUGAUCUACUUCAUUUUGUCCAUCAUCUUUUAAGAGAGUGGACAAAAAAUGAAGCACAAAGCAAGCACCUUUUACCCACAUUUUCCACCUCUUCAUAUAUUUGUUUGAUGGUACUUUAUUUUUAUAGGCACGAAGGAAUUUCAGCGCGAUUGGAAUUUUUAGCUUCUCGAAUGCUUUGAGCUCUAGCUUUCCAUGAUGAUAAGGACCUAUCAAAACUAUGAGAGGAUCAUAACAAUCUUUGUUUGAUUCAAUCACACACAUUAGUGAUGUUGGGCUUUUUGAUACCCAAUAGAUCUCGGGUUAUGAUAUUAACAUGGGUUAACAUAUUUCAUAGGCAUAGGUCGAUGAAUAAAAUAACUCCAAUAACCAAGUUCAUGAGCUCCACCCGGGUCAAUUGUAUUUCCUCUUGGAUGGCUUGAAUCUUGGCCCGUUUAAGCCCCUUAUAGGUCCAACUUAAAGCUUAACCCUAGACUAUAUAUAAGGUUAUAACCCUAGCCACUUUCUUGUGUGAUUUUGUGAGAAAAUAGUGGAACUUUAGCUGUCCCUUGGUGUGUGGAGAAAUAGCACCUUUGAAGUGCCAAAAUUGGUUGAUUACUUUGUUCAACUGGUGGCUCCUUCAUAUCUUAACUUUGUGGUGUUUUCUCCUUACCUUUCUACCCACAAAUCAU